GUGUUUGCUUCUGCAACACAUUUACUAAAAUUGUACAUUAAUGUACAGAGAUUAGCAUGACCCCAGCACAAGGAUAACACACAAAUUUGUGAAGUGUUUCUUAUAAAU
Molecule: small nuclear RNA, 108 nt
Organism: Aotus nancymaae (Ma's night monkey)
Lineage: Eukaryota; Metazoa; Chordata; Mammalia; Primates; Aotidae
Source: Ensembl